AGAGAUGAUGAUGAUGAUGGCGUGUUGAUGGGUCAUACGUACCAUGCCGUACGCCAUACUGCGCUCAUGCUCCUGGGUGAUGUCGGCCACAUAAGCGAAUACAACGGAGAAGAAAAAACAGAAACACAACAUACCACGGGCUGAUCUUCAGUAAAGGAAUUGGUGCACAUGUGAAGAAGACGGUGCAGUCAGCAAACCCCAAGCGAAGAACUCCAGAAAGAUGACGAUGACGGCAUGAUAAACGCUGGGGGAACCGAAG
Molecule: long non-coding RNA, 259 nt
Organism: Carassius auratus (goldfish)
Lineage: Eukaryota; Metazoa; Chordata; Actinopteri; Cypriniformes; Cyprinidae
Exons: 3
Source: RefSeq, a predicted model, not a curated record